Lathyrus oleraceus (garden pea) is the source of this 536-nucleotide long non-coding RNA. RefSeq lists it as uncharacterized. The record is from RefSeq and is a predicted model, not a curated record. NCBI's taxonomy places the organism in Eukaryota, Viridiplantae, Streptophyta, Magnoliopsida, Fabales, Fabaceae. The transcript is spliced from 2 exons.
UGAAUAAAAGAUGAAAAUGUAAAAAAUUCAAUGAAAUGUGUGCCGCCAUUUCUCACUUUUUCUCAGAAUUCAAUUAAGCCUUGAGAGCAGUUUCUAUUGAAGGUUUGAUGUGUCUGGUUGUAGUUCAUCCAUCAAAUCCUCAACUUCAAAUUCAAAGUUUUCAUCUAGGUUUUCUCUACAGCUGCAAUGAAACCACCGUCCAGCAUACAAUCAUUGGCGUGAAAUUGAAAAUCUUACGAGAACCUUAUGGAACAAGUUUUGCAUUGUAUCGGUAAGAUAAAUGCUACAAUCAAUUUAAUGAAUAACCUAUGUAUCCGGUGAAGUUUAUUAAAUAAUUAAUGUAUUUGAUCUCUUUUAGGUUUAUUGAAUAAUCGGGGCUUCUGGUUUUUGUUUGUUAGGUUUAUCGAAUAAUCGAUGUAUCUGAUCUCUAUCAUGACUAAAUACAUCGAUUUUGAAAAAAAAAACUUUGUUUGUAAUUGUGAAUAGAGCAACAAUUCAUGAAAUUAAAACAAAGGUGAAGUCAUUGAUGAAAAUAA